Non-coding RNA from Trichonephila clavipes, 74 nucleotides. NCBI's taxonomy places the organism in Eukaryota, Metazoa, Arthropoda, Arachnida, Araneae, Nephilidae. The record is from the annotation of a GenBank genome assembly.
GUCCCUGUAACACAAUUUAUAGCGCGUUGGACUUCUAAUUCCAAAUGUCGUGGACUCAAAUCCCAUUUGGGAUG